GACGAACCGUGCGAACGUUGUUCGGAAUCACUGGGCUUAAAGGGCGCGUAGGCGGGUCGGCAAGUCCGGGGUGAAAGCCCCCAGCUCAACUGGGGAAGGGCCUUGGAAACUGCCGGUCUCGAGGGAGGUAGGGGCCUGUGGAACUUCGGGUGGAGCGGUGAAAUGCGUUGAUAUCCGAAGGAACGCCGGUGGCGAAAGCGACGGGCUGGAUCUCUUCUGACGCUGAGGCGCGAAAGCUAGGGUAGCGAACGGG
This 253-nucleotide ribosomal RNA is filed under the name uncultured bacterium. RNAcentral describes it as "partial 16S ribosomal RNA". It matches the Rfam family "Bacterial small subunit ribosomal RNA", at positions 524 to 776 of the family's 1533-position model. The record is from RNAcentral.